ACCCGCUUCUACAUUAUUUAUGGGCAUAUUUAAGUCGGAGGAGAUAAAGCCUGUCUUUACAUUCAUGGUGACAGGCUGGAUUGGCCCUGAGGAAUUCAGGCCCUCUGUGAUUUAAGUGCCUGACAUGGUUGGCCAAACACAGAACUGAAUUUCCCUGUACAGAACAAACUGAAUGCAGUUAUUUCCCACAAGACCUUGUACACACACUAGGGACUUGCAGCAACAAUUGUGAGGCAAAAGAAAAGCCAGGAAAUACAAAUUUAUUUCAUUCCUUACAAUACAGUACGUUCAACGAUGAGCCCUUUAGAAUAAGUUCCAAAGAUUGGAAUCUUUUUAAUACAUCAAUGAACUACUGAUUGUUCAAAAGAUACAAAAGUGUAUAUACUGUCUAUAUAUAUUAACAUAAAAAAAAGCCCAGAGCGUGUAUUGCUGCAAUGACAAAGAAGCGUUCAGCGGGAAUGUCGCUACAUUCUAUUCAUGUAGAACGUCUGUUAUCUUUUCAACAUCUGCUCUGGAAAAACCAAAGCAUUAUUCAUGUGUAUAUGUUUCUCAUUUAAAGCAUUUGCUAAAGGUUCAUGGUUUUAUAUAUAUAUAUUUAUACAUACAUAUACAUAGUACAUAUACUUAGUCACAAUCCACUCUUGAUUUCAGUUUUAGCAGGCAGCUCUCCAAAGUGAAUUUAAUCAGGAGAGACUUGGUUCGUAUUGACAACCAUUUAUUACAUGUGUGACAUUGAAAUAGUGCAAUUAUGUGGCGAUUGGACUCCAUCCUAAACCAGGAUAAUCAAGGGGCGGUGAUGCAGAGUUCCAAAUGCCUCCUGGAGUCCAGACUCUAGUGGUGGUGGUGAAGAAGGGAGUUGAUGAAAAUGAUGGCUGGAGGUGCCUGCAUGGGGUGAAGGAGGGUCGCAUCUGGUUUCUCGUUGAAAGGACACCUGACCGCAACGACGGAGAGUCUUCCUAUCUGGACUACCUGUUAAGCUUCAUUAACGGGGUCCCGUUCUCCUCGUGACUGCCGGCUGUGUUAAUAAGCCACUGAUUGUUAAUACGUUAAUAGUUUAUUAGCUUUUUGAGGUGAUAAUUUGUGUUGUGUGUGUUUAUCCUAGCGUUUACACUAGGACUAACACUUUUGUCGUGUUGUGUGCUUUUUUUCCUUCAACCGUUCACCACCCUCCUCCUUUAAACCUCUGCUCAGUGUCAUGUUAUACGCUGCCUGGAAAGGAAGAAAAUUUAUUAACGAACGUUGCCAGCAAGCGGCCUUGGAUUUGGCAAAACAAAUAAUAAGUUAAUAUUCAUAAAAAACAAUCAAUUUAGUUGGAUACACAAUUUAGUGAGAAUUGAUAAGCAAAGUUCUACGCUAUAAAACCAAAACAACAAGUUAAAGGACACAAAAUGCUCUGCAGAUUAACUUUCACUUUAAAAGUUGCAUUCGACCUGUUGUUGAAAUGAAUAAAAAUUGAUUGAUUCAGCUUAAAGAUAUUUAUAUCUCACUGGUAAAAACUCAAAAUCUAAAUCACCUGAGUCCCUUUUGUUUGUGAGUCGCGAAGAAUACCACCGCACAAACACAGUCGGUUACGUAAUCUGUAACACUCAUACUCCCUCACACAUCUUUGGCUGCUAUCAAACAUGCAAACAUUAGAUUGUGUCAGUUUUAACUUCUCUGUGUGGCUCUUUUUCUUUAAGUUUCAUAACAUAGUCAAAGUACAACCUGUUAUCAAAGUCGACGCUGACAGUAACUGACAGUUAAUCAAUGUCUCUCUCUGUCACGCCGAGAGCAGCUCCGUCAUUGUGCAUCAGGGCAGUUUUUCACGCUCCAUUUACUGGAGCUGGUUCUCUGGUAUUUUAGGAAAAGGUGUCAAAAGGACGAAACACGUUCAGAAAUCUGUCCUUUUCCAACCUCGAAUUUUUCAAUGUUAAAUCGUUUCGAUGUCAUGUCACUUAACGCGGGUCUUUAAAGGAAUUAAGCCAGAUUUAGCAAGAGUUGUGUGAAAGCACGGAGGGGGAGUUCUGGGUCACGUAGUCUCUGUGCUCCGUCCAGUCCUUUGUAGCGAUGGAGGGCGGGGGGGUGUCUGGCUGCAGCGCGGUUUCUCUGGGGACCUUAUCUGGGUUCUGGGAACAAGGCGCUGUGCUGCUGUUUCUAUUGGCAUGGGGAUAGAGGGAAGGCCUGCGUUGGGAGAUAAACACUCCCUGCAGCCGGUCAGGAUUCCCGUUUGCUGCAGGUGUCAAAGAAAAAGCCCCACAGCCAUUAGACAUCAACACGUCUGCUGGUGACAAGUUGUCCCCCACGACUGGAGAAGAUAGAGGACUGGAAUGUAGUAGGUAAACAGGUAUACAGAUGGCAUAGGACAGGGAUGGGGGGGUAAGUGAGGAUGAGGGAAUUGAUGGAGGCACAAUGCAAAAAAAGGCUUUUUACCAAGUCAUUUAGUUUAAUUUUCAGUCUAAACAUCUCGUUAUUUUUUGCUAGCAAAUAGCAGACAUGUAACUACAGACAAAUGGGUGAAAGUGUGUCACCUUGGAGAGAAAAAAACACACAGACCAAAAACAAAAAAAUCAACAAAUAAUUGCGUGGGUUAUUAGAUGUAAAUGAUCAACCUGAUGUAUGAGACAUAAACAGAGAUUGAGGGUAUUAACCAAUCUAAAAAAGGUGAGAUCCCAAUUAGCAGUGAGGGACGGGAGCUGGAUCGUUAUAGUUUGCCAGGGAAUGAGCCAUCUGUGGAGGUCACGUUGAAUGGCAAGAAAACACUUCAGCGACACAACGCCGCGGCAGGUAGUGAGGAGGACACCGAACUGACACAUCAGAGCACCUGGCCCCGCCAGACUGUCAGCUUAUUUAUACACGGGACAAUAACCUGCCCCAGAACUGCUCAGUGCCACCAACAGGGAGAGGGGAGACGGACUGCGGGGUGAAAAAAAAGUGAUCUAAUAUAGAUUCACGUGACCGUCUGCCAUCUUUUUCACUGUGAGUUUGCGCCUGUAGAGUGAACCAAUGACAGGGUUUUUCUCCUCUGCCUGCUGUCACCUUCCUACCAGAGUUACUGGGAACCCAUUAAUGAUGUUGGAACACAAUCUCUGGGAGAUAUCGGAUUCAUCACUCUAAAAGGAAGGAUUUGAUGAAUAACCAUCACUGCAAAUAAAUGAAGCAAAAAUACAUGAAAAUAUAAUUUGCGAAGAUGUUUUUUUUAUUUAUAGGUUAAAGCCACCCUAUGAAACAGAGGCUUUACCCAUUAUACAAAACUGUUGCUGACUGAAUCAAAUGCUUAAAUUGGUUGGAUAAAGCAGACUCAAAUAUUAAGAAACACUGUAUUUGUUCUCGUUGUUAAAACAAGUGAAUUAAUGUGUCAUAGAGAUAGAGAGGGAAAAGGGGAGUAUUUUCUAGAGUUCCUAUUAGUCCGCCAAUUCAAUUAAUAGACAUCCGGUCUCUUGGCUCUCCGUUGAAAAAAGGUAAGGCUGGCUGCAGAGGCGGCUAAAGACAUUGUAAUUACUUAUUGAGUGGAGUAGGUGCCUGCGGCAGUGGACAAUGUCAGCCAGUGUAACGUGAGAGAUUCGGUUGGGGGACAUUAGUCUAAUUGCUUUUUGUCACCCCACAAGACACCCAUGGCAGUUUUAGAUAGUGUCAAGGUGUCUGGCUUUGGCUAUCUAUUGGACACAUUCUCAGGUCCAAAUGGGGAAAACCUUAAGAUCAAUGAAACCUUAUAUCUUUGUGAUGAUAAAUGAAUAGUUUCCUGCAGGUGUGUGGUGACCUUUCCAUUUCACAGCCUUCACAUCAACAAGCAAUAAUUCCAAAAAGUCAGAAUUCCGUGACGUCCGCCGAGUAUGGAGUUCAAUUUCAGUAUAAGAGCAAGAUAUGUUCAGCUCAGCUAAAUUAAAUGGAAACACCAGCAAUGUUGCAUAAACUGUGGUGAUGGGAACGUCUUGUUUCCACGAUAUACAGAGAGGAUUUAGGGAGCUCUGUUGUUAAGCGUUGAGAACAGGUGGCAGGCUUGUGUCCAUGUGUGAACGUGUGCUUGUGCACAGGUGCAACAUGUGUAUUCGGGUUGUGUGUGGAAGCCUUUGUCUGCCGUCCCAGAGGUGCACACGAGCAAAGAAGAGAAAUAUUUGGUGUUGGCAGAGUGGAUGCGUCUAAUGUCUGUCGCCCCUUUGGCUCAAAGCUGGACAGUGAUCACAGAGAAAACAGGAAAGGCUCCUGGAGCAGCUAAAAUAUGUUGUGAUACAACUAGUCAAUUUAAACAGAAAACCUUUAAGCACAGAAAUGAAGGGCCUUUUUUAAGAAGUAUUGUGCCUAACUGUUGGGGACCACUGGGCUGAUUCACAGCGUGUAUGUGUUUACACACCUCCUGGAUCCUGAUUGGUGUCGCUGCUGCAGCCGCAAGGCACUGAUUGGAUGCUCACAGACCGUAAUACAGCGCAGAUGAAAAUGAUUCAGACUACGGCGUUUAUAUGUUCAACAAUAGGAAACGUAGUCUUAGCUGUUUUAAAAUUACACCAAGUUUAUUUCGGAUUAUUCCAACGGAAGAAUACAAGGCGCAGGGAACUUUGAGGUGCGUAAACGCUAUUUAUAGGUGCGUAAACGCUAUUUCCAAAAUUCUAGAGGUGCGUAAACGGCGUUUACGUGCGUUUACCCUCCACUACAGCCCUGCCUGUUUGUUAUUGUUUUGCCAUGUGCUUGUGGUUUUGUUUUUGUGUCCCCAGUAGUGUCCUCAGAGCCCCGCCCAGUGCCACGCCUUUCAUGUUGCCUUUGUUUUUUCCCUGCCGGAGAAAAUAAAUAACCCCUGUUGGAAAAAGAGAAACCUUGGUGGUCCUGCGUGUUGCAUCUGGGUCCGUUUGCACAUCAUAACAUGUUGAGAGGAAAUCAACGUAGUCCUAAUGUAAGAUCUUGCACAUUUAACCAUCCUCAAGCUACAACGCGUAGCCCCGGAGUGACUCAUUAGAAAGCGAUACCUUAAAGAUGCAACAUUCCUCUGAGCUUUAUUACACCAAAUGCAGGGCUUCCAGAUGCGAUUCAGACAGAAUACCCAAGACUGCAGUCUUUGUGUCCCAGAAAGUGCUCCAUUACUCACUGUCUGCUGUUAACUUUAGCUGCAAAUGGCAUCAUUACCACUGUCUCACAGCAGCUGAGCUUCACGUGAGAGGUGUCUAAACCAUACGUUAAACGUGAGCUGUUAGACGUGUUACACAGCUUUUUAUGAACUGCUAAAAAAAGAAUCAACCUCAAACAUCUUGCUGACAAUAGCUUGUGAGAUUAUUUGCACAGACCUCAGAUUUGUCUUUCAGAGUUGUUUAUUUUUAGGAUUUGAAGAAAAGGAUAUAAGCACAGGCCCAAACCCAAGAUGAUGUGAAGGGAGCGUUUUAUUCCCAGAGCCAUAGUUUCUUUGUUCUGAUGACUGAAGUGUUCUGUUUUUGACAAAGAAAUCCGUGAAAUUCUACUUCGUGACUUGGCGCUUUCUUUUCAGCCCUAUAACAGAGCAGAGGUUACUGCUAAUCUUGGUCGACACAACCUCACCCUCACAGAAAGACAUGUUGGCUCGGACUUGCUGCACGAGAGAUUCUUUUUCAAAUCUCAAGUCAAUAAGAGAAAAUCUAAUCGAAACAGACCAAAAGAUAUUGCCGGGGGAGAGGCACCAUGUUAUUAACUGAUCUGUAGAUAGACUUGUUGGCUUUUAAAUUGUGCGGGAUAAGUGAUUCUAGAUAAUCCAUCGUUCCUCCUGGACACAAGAGUGCCAGCCUGGAUUCAACCCCGGCGACAAAAUGCCCAGCAAGCUUGGUUUCAUCUGGCUGACAGACAAACAAUUGGAAAUAGGAGAUGUAAAAUAGUCCCGGAGACGCCUAAGUAUUCCACGCUAAUAACAGUUUUAAUGAAUUGAAAACUGAAAGCCACUUAUGCAGGCUCAUGAAGGUAAACAGUAUUUGUCAGUAAAUAUGACCUAGUCAGUUACAGACAGAGUGUCAAAUGAGAAUAAUAUAGCGUUGUGUGUCUGUAGUCAAGGCCAGCUUUGACUUGUGAUGAGGAUACGUGAGAAAAGAAGGCACAAUGGGAGAGAGAGUCGAGCUGAACUUUGCACAGAUGGUGCAACUUUUCAGUAUAAAAUAGUAAAGCUCUGCAAAACAAAACCCCGACAGGCAUUCACAUGCUUGAUUUGGUAAAUCUUUAAUUCCCCAUCUUGUAAAGCAAUAAGUAUGGGGCAUCACAGCAUUGUCGAUGUGAUAUUGAAUUGUAUCCAGGGUGAAAUUAUAGUGUGGAAUUAAUCGGUAACAAGCCCAUAUGCAGGUCUCUGAUUCCAUUUUGUGUACAUCAAGCAUCAUAAAUCAUUGUGAACCUCAUUAAAUGCCCAGCAAGCUCGAGGCAAUUUCCUAGGGAGGCCGCUUGGCUCGGAGCCCCCAAAUCCCCAUGACUGAGAGAGGGAGAGGAGGGGAGGAUCAGAAAGAGAAUAAGCGAGGGAAAGAUAGAUGACUAGGUCUUGAAUGAUGAGCUCUCCUCUAUCUCUCUUCAGCCACAGAUAGAAACAGAAGGAACAGUGGACCUGGAGGGAUCGCACUCUGCUUCAGACUCGUCUUAUAAUAAGCACUCCGAGCUCGCCUGUCAGCAUAUUUAUUACCGCGUUUCUUCUUCAGGGUACGUUGCUGUCACACUGUUUGGUUUUCCUUCUAUGUUGAUGUUAUUGCUGCCUACA
Long non-coding RNA from Gasterosteus aculeatus aculeatus (three-spined stickleback), 6664 nucleotides. Lineage: Eukaryota; Metazoa; Chordata; Actinopteri; Perciformes; Gasterosteidae. The record is from Ensembl.